Molecule: ribosomal RNA, 561 nt
Filed under: Trichoderma asperellum
Lineage: Eukaryota; Fungi; Ascomycota; Sordariomycetes; Hypocreales; Hypocreaceae
Description: eukaryotic LSU rRNA
Rfam family: 5.8S ribosomal RNA (bases 201-354)
Source: RNAcentral
CUCGGAGGGAUCAUUACCGAGUUUACAACUCCCAAACCCAAUGUGAACGUUACCAAACUGUUGCCUCGGCGGGGUCACGCCCCGGGUGCGUCGCAGCCCCGGAACCAGGCGCCCGCCGGAGGAACCAACCAAACUCUUUCUGUAGUCCCCUCGCGGACGUAUUUCUUUACAGCUCUGAGCAAAAAUUCAAAAUGAAUCAAAACUUUCAACAACGGAUCUCUUGGUUCUGGCAUCGAUGAAGAACGCAGCGAAAUGCGAUAAGUAAUGUGAAUUGCAGAAUUCAGUGAAUCAUCGAAUCUUUGAACGCACAUUGCGCCCGCCAGUAUUCUGGCGGGCAUGCCUGUCCGAGCGUCAUUUCAACCCUCGAACCCCUCCGGGGGAUCGGCGUUGGGGAUCGGGACCCCUCACACGGGUGCCGGCCCCUAAAUACAGUGGCGGUCUCGCCGCAGCCUCUCCUGCGCAGUAGUUUGCACAACUCGCACCGGGAGCGCGGCGCGUCCACGUCCGUAAAACACCCAACUUUCUGAAAUGUUGACCUCGGAUCAGGUAGGAAUACCCGCG